UACGUAGGGGGCGAGCGUUGUCCGGAUUUAUUGGGCGUAAAGAGCGUGUAGGCGGCCAGGUAGGUCCGUUGUGAAAACUCGAGGCUCAACCUCGAGACGCCGAUGGAAACCAUCUGGCUAGAGUCCGGAAGAGGAGAGUGGAAUUCCCGGUGUAGCGGUGAAAUGCGCAGAUAUCGGGAGGAACACCUGUGGCGAAAGCGGCUCACUGGACCACAACUGACGCUGAUGCGCGAAAGCGUGGGGAGCAAACAGG
This 253-nucleotide ribosomal RNA is filed under the name uncultured bacterium. RNAcentral describes it as "partial 16S ribosomal RNA". It matches the Rfam family "Bacterial small subunit ribosomal RNA", at positions 524 to 776 of the family's 1533-position model. The record is from RNAcentral.